UGGGGAAUUUUCCGCAAUGGGCGAAAGCCUGACGGAGCAAUACCGCGUGAGGGAAGAAUGCCUGUGGGUUGUAAACCUCUUUUCUCAGGGAAGAAGUUCUGACGGUACCUGAGGAAUAAGCAUCGGCUAACUCCGUGCCAGCAGCCGCGGUAAUACGGAGGAUGCAAGCGUUAUCCGGAAUCACUGGGCGUAAAGCGUCUGUAGGUGGCUCAGCAAGUCCGCUGUUAAAUCUUAGGGCUCAACCCUAAACCAGCAGUGGAAACUUCUAAGCUAGAGUAUGGUAUGGGUAGAGGGAAUUCCCAGUGUAGCGGUGAAAUGCGUAGAUAUUGGGAAGAACACCAGAGGCGAAAGCGCUCUGCUAGGCCAUUACUGACACUCAGAGACGAAAGCUAGGGGAGCAAAUGGGAUUAGAUACCCCAGUAGUC
Molecule: ribosomal RNA, 425 nt
Filed under: uncultured phototrophic eukaryote
Lineage: Eukaryota
Description: bacterial SSU rRNA
Rfam family: Bacterial small subunit ribosomal RNA
Source: RNAcentral